RNAcentral lists this ribosomal RNA (458 nucleotides) under uncultured Oceanotoga sp. RNAcentral's name for it is "partial 16S ribosomal RNA". The record is from RNAcentral. Lineage: Bacteria; Thermotogati; Thermotogota; Thermotogae; Petrotogales; Petrotogaceae.
GACUACCGGGGUAUCUAAGCCGGUUCGCUCCCCUAGCUUUCGGGCCUCAGCGUCAGGGUUACCCCAGUAGACCGGCUUCCCCACUGGCGUUCUUACCUGUAUCUACGGAUUUCACCCCUACUCAGGUAAUUCCGUCUACCUUUGGUACCCUCAAGUCUUACAGUUUCAAACGCAUUUCUACCGUUGAGCAGUAGUAUUUCACAUCUGACUUAUUUGACCGCCUACGCCCCCUUUACGCCCAGUAAUUCCGGGCAACGCUCGCCCCCUACGUCUUACCGCGGCUGCUGGCACGUAGUUAGCCGGGGCUUUUCUUUAUCUACCUUCAUCCAACUGUCCCCAGUUGUCUUUAUUCGAUAAGUUCAGAAGUUUACAUCCCGAAGGACUUCUUCCUUCACGCGGCGUCGCUGGAUCAGACUUCCGUCCAUUGUCCAAAAUUCCCCACUGCAGCCCCCCGUAGG